RNAcentral lists this ribosomal RNA (623 nucleotides) under uncultured anaerobic bacterium. Its description in RNAcentral is "bacterial SSU rRNA". It matches the Rfam family "Bacterial small subunit ribosomal RNA", at positions 28 to 646 of the family's 1533-position model. The record is from RNAcentral.
GAUGAACGCUAGCGGCAGGCUUAAUACAUGCAAGUCGAACGGGAUUCGGGGUAGCAAUACUUUGAUGAGAGUGGCGCACGGGUGCGUAACGCGUAUGCAACCUACCUUUAACAGGGGAAUAGCCCCGAGAAAUCGGGAUUAAUACUCCGUAACAUUGCGGUGUGGCAUCACACUGCACUUAAAGCUGAGGCGGUUAAAGAUGGGCAUGCGUGACAUUAGCUAGUUGGUGAGGUAACGGCUCACCAAGGCAACGAUGUCUAGGGGUCCUGAGAGGGUUAUCCCCCACACUGGUACUGAGACACGGACCAGACUCCUACGGGAGGCAGCAGUAAGGAAUAUUGGUCAAUGGGCGCAAGCCUGAACCAGCCAUGCCGCGUGCAGGAAGACGGCCCUAUGGGUUGUAAACUGCUUUUGUCAGGGAAUAAACCCCCGCUCGUGAGCGGGGCUGAAGGUACCUGAAGAAUAAGCAUCGGCUAACUCCGUGCCAGCAGCCGCGGUAAUACGGAGGAUGCAAGCGUUAUCCGGAUUCAUUGGGUUUAAAGGGUGCGCAGGCGGAUUGGUAAGUCAGGGGUGAAAUCCCACAGCUCAACUGUGGAACUGCCUUUGAUACUGUCAGUCUAGAG